Molecule: ribosomal RNA, 542 nt
Filed under: uncultured bacterium
Lineage: Bacteria
Description: bacterial SSU rRNA
Rfam family: Bacterial small subunit ribosomal RNA
Source: RNAcentral
CACCUACGGGUGGCUGCAGUGGGGAAUUUUGGACAAUGGGCGCAAGCCUGAUCCAGCAAUGCCGCGUGCAGGAUGAAGGCCUUCGGGUUGUAAACUGCUUUUGUACGGAACGAAAAGGUUCUCUCUAAUACAGGGGGCAUAUGACGGUACCGUAAGAAUAAGCACCGGCUAACUACGUGCCAGCAGCCGCGGUAAUACGUAGGGUGCGAGCGUUAAUCGGAAUUACUGGGCGUAAAGCGUGCGCAGGCGGUUUUGUAAGACAGAGGUGAAAUCCCCGGGCUCAACCUGGGAACUGCCUUUGUGACUGCAAGGCUGGAGUGCGGCAGAGGGGGAUGGAAUUCCGCGUGUAGCAGUGAAAUGCGUAGAUAUGCGGAGGAACACCGAUGGCGAAGGCAAUCCCCUGGGCCUGCACUGACGCUCAUGCACGAAAGCGUGGGGAGCAAACAGGAUUAGAUACCCUGGUAGUCCACGCCCUAAACGAUGUCAACUGGUUGUUGGGGGUUAAUUCACUCAGUAACGAAGCUAACGCGUGAAGUGACCGC